UUUUGAGACCGUGUCACCCCGAUUGCGCCCCAUCUCAUAACAUCUCAGACGCUAAGGCGGGUUGAGUCUGGUUCAUAGUCAGAUGGGAGACUUCCAGAGAAUAUCAAGUGUUGCAGGCC
RNAcentral lists this ribosomal RNA (119 nucleotides) under Petromyzon marinus (sea lamprey). The record is from RNAcentral. Lineage: Eukaryota; Metazoa; Chordata; Hyperoartia; Petromyzontiformes; Petromyzontidae.